ACUCGAGUGGCGAACGGGUGAGUAACACGUGGGUGAUCUGCCCUGCACUCCGGGAUAAGCCUGGGAAACUGGGUCUAAUACCGGAUAGGACCAUGCUUUAGUGUGUGUGGUGGAAAGUUUUUCGGCGUAGGAUGAGCCCGCGGCCUAUCAGCUUGUUGGUGGGGUAAUGGCCUACCAAGGCGGCGACGGGUAGCCGGACUGAGAGGUUGGUCGGCCACAUUGGGACUGAGAUACGGCCCAG
RNAcentral lists this ribosomal RNA (241 nucleotides) under uncultured Actinomycetales bacterium. RNAcentral's name for it is "partial 16S ribosomal RNA". It matches the Rfam family "Bacterial small subunit ribosomal RNA", at positions 89 to 334 of the family's 1533-position model. The record is from RNAcentral. Lineage: Bacteria; Bacillati; Actinomycetota; Actinomycetes; Actinomycetales.